AUUGAACGCUGGCGGCAUGCCUUACACAUGCAAGUCGAACGGUAACGCGGGGCAACCUGGCGACGAGUGGCGAACGGGUGAGUAAUGUAUCGGAACGUGCCCAGUUGUGGGGGAUAACUGCUCGAAAGAGCAGCUAAUACCGCAUACGACCUGAGGGUGAAAGCGGGGGAUCGCAAGACCUCGCGCCAUUGGAGCGGCCGAUAUCAGAUUAGGUAGUUGGUGGGGUAAGGCUCACCAAGCCGACGAUCUGUAGCUGGUCUGAGAGGACGACCAGCCACGCUGGGACUGAGACACGGCCCAGACUCCUACGGGAGGCAGCAGUGGGGAAUUUUGGACAAUGGACGCAAGUCUGAUCCAGCCAUGCCGCGUGCGGGAAGAAGGCCUUCGGGUUGUAAACCGCUUUUGUCAGGGAAGAAAAGGCUCCUUCUAAUAUAGGGGGCUCAUGACGGUACCUGAAGAAUAAGCACCGGCUAACUACGUGCCAGCAGCCGCCGUAA
RNAcentral lists this ribosomal RNA (497 nucleotides) under uncultured bacterium. Its description in RNAcentral is "partial 16S ribosomal RNA". It matches the Rfam family "Bacterial small subunit ribosomal RNA", at positions 30 to 523 of the family's 1533-position model. The record is from RNAcentral.